Molecule: microRNA, 21 nt
Filed under: Vriesea carinata
Lineage: Eukaryota; Viridiplantae; Streptophyta; Magnoliopsida; Poales; Bromeliaceae
Description: vca-miR10209-5p
Source: miRBase by way of RNAcentral
UCCGCCACGUCAUCUGUGUAC